AACUUGCAGUGUCGUCACCAUGAACUGGACCCCACUCCUCCUCACCCUUCUCACUCAUUUUCCAGGGUCCUGGGCUCAGUUUCAACUGACACAAGAGGCCUCAGUGUCAGGCUCUGUGGGACAGAAGGUCACUCUCACAUGCACUGGGAGUAGCAGCAAUAUUGGGACCUAUGGUGCAGGCUGGUACCAGCAGGUUCCUGGUGCUGCCCCUAAAACUGUCAUGAUUGGAAAUUCACGGCCUUCAGGAAUCCCAGAUAGAUUCUCCGGUUCUAGAUCUGGCAACACGGCCUCUCUCACCAUCUCAAGUCUCCAGCCUGAGGACGAGGCUGACUAUUACUGUAAUACAUAUGAUGAUAGUGAUUAUAAUAGCACAGUGACUCAGGCCUUUGGGGAACUGAGACAAAAACCUUUCCUUGUGACCCAAGACCACCGCCAUGAGAUUCUGUGA
Erinaceus europaeus (western European hedgehog) is the source of this 448-nucleotide non-coding RNA. The record is from the annotation of a RefSeq genome assembly. NCBI's taxonomy places the organism in Eukaryota, Metazoa, Chordata, Mammalia, Eulipotyphla, Erinaceidae.